Molecule: ribosomal RNA, 455 nt
Filed under: uncultured bacterium
Lineage: Bacteria
Description: bacterial SSU rRNA
Rfam family: Bacterial small subunit ribosomal RNA
Source: RNAcentral
AGAGUUUGAUCCUGGCUCAGAUUGAACGCUGGCGGCAUGCUUUACACAUGCAAGUCGAACGGCAGCACGGGUGCUUGCACCUGGUGGCGAGUGGCGAACGGGUGAGUAAUGCACCGGAACGUACCCAGUAAUGGGGGAUAACACAUCGAAAGAUGUGCUAAUACCGCAUACGCCCUGAGGGGGAAAGCGGGGGAUCGUAAGACCUCGCGUUAUUGAAGCGGCCGAUGCCGGAUUAGCUAGUUGGUGAGGUAAGAGCUCACCAAGGCGACGAUCCGUAGCUGGUCUGAGAGGACGACCAGCCACACUGGGACUGAGACACGGCCCAGACUCCUACGGGAGGCAGCAGUGGGGAAUUUUGGACAAUGGGCGCAAGCCUGAUCCAGCCAUGCCGCGUGAGUGAAGAAGGCCUUCGGGUUGUAAAGCUCUUUCGCAAGGAAAGAAAACUUAUCUACUAA